Molecule: ribosomal RNA, 253 nt
Filed under: uncultured bacterium
Lineage: Bacteria
Description: partial 16S ribosomal RNA
Rfam family: Bacterial small subunit ribosomal RNA
Source: RNAcentral
UACGAAGGGUGCAAGCGUUACUCGGAAUUACUGGGCGUAAAGCGUGCGUAGGUGGUUUUUUAAGUCCGUUGUGAAAGCCCUGGGCUCAACCUUGGAAUUGCAUUUGAGACUGCAUAGCUAGGGUGCGGAAGAGGGAAGCGGAAUUUCCGGUGUAGCGGUGAAAUGCGUAGAUAUCGGAAGGAACAUCAGUGGCGAAAGCGGCUUCCUGGCCCAGCACCGACGUUCAGGCACGAAAGCGUGGGGAGCAAACAGG